This is a long non-coding RNA of Oncorhynchus keta (chum salmon), 1834 nucleotides long. RefSeq lists it as uncharacterized. The record is from RefSeq and is a predicted model, not a curated record. The transcript is spliced from 3 exons. NCBI's taxonomy places the organism in Eukaryota, Metazoa, Chordata, Actinopteri, Salmoniformes, Salmonidae.
UUCUCUCUCAGUGCUUUGCAGCUUACAUGUCAAAGGUCAAUCAAUAUAACUUUCGCACAGUGUCAUCAGUGUCAUUGUUGUCACAAGUGAUGCAGUAAAAAGAGGAGGAGGGAACGUAUUUAUUAGCCAAUGGUUGAAUUCAAAUCAGUUCCAAGAGCAGACUAUGUGUGAGGUUGCCAUGCUAUGCAAGUGUGAAGCUUGUGAUGGAACAAGAAAAACCUGGAAAUAGAUGUGAUGAUUCCUAGCAACAGGCAGUUGAGGUGUCGGUGAGACUUCACUAUCAAUUGGACCCUUGAUCACCUAAGGGAAAUCGUCUGUCACCUCCAUUUAACCUCAGUCUGCCCUGCUUGUGUAGAUUGCAAACAGGGAGGUAGCUGCUUGUAGCCACCAAGCCACCUGUCACAUCCAUGUAUUUAUAUGUCCUUUUAGCGAAGAGGUGGAAGGAAACAAGACUAAAACAUUUUUUUCUGUGCAUUAGCCAGGACGGCCACGGCAUGUGAAUAGAAAGCAGUGUUCAGCCGAGGAAACAGUCUCACAGUGGAAACCAAACUUGAUUAAUCCCUGUAGCUUUGUGUUGUGGUGAUGCUGAUUUCUAAUGGUCAAUGUUUGGCAUUAUUUCUGAUCUAUAACUAUUAUCUCCUUAAGUUUCAAAAGGCUAUAGCUUCCUGUGAGAGAUGAGGGGCAUUUCUUGUAACAUCCAAUGCAGCACUUAUGGUGCAUUAGUAUUUUGGCUGAAACAUAACAUACCGUAGGCCUUAGACAAGGAACUCCUAGAAUAACCACCACCAUCAUAUCUGUCUUAGAUAUGUAAGGUCCAUCUGUCUCAAGAAUAGGCCUUAAAACAUUGCAGAACACUUCAUACUAUAUUGACUGCCUUCUUGCUAUCGCUAUUGAAACCACAGUGACUAUGUGGGUAAAUUAUUAAUCUGAAGAUAGUGAUGUCAUUUACGGCAAGUGUGUGCUAUAUCUCUUUAACUAUGGGCUUGAAAGGUUGUCAAACAAACAAUCACAAAUAAAAUUCCCCUCAAAGCAAUGUACAGUGUAUAAUCACCUCUACGUUGUGGGAAAAAUAAAGGCCUAUUGGAUUUAGUUUUUUGCUUGGAUCAAGUCCUGGUACAGAAGCGAAUGUCCUUGAGAGCUGAUGGUGAAGUUGCUACAUAUUACUAUAGCAGCCUAAGCUUAAUUUUUAAUUGAACACUGAGGUCGAGGCAACAUUAGUGAGCUCCUCCAUUUCAUCCAUCCCCACCACUGGCCCAUGCCUCAGACACACGUCCUUCAGCAGCAGACACGGAGAGCAAGAUCUACAGUCUCCUGCCAGUUGUGUUUGAGAGUCCCUCUACAUCUUAGCCUGUGGCUCACUGGGCUCUUUGGUCCCUUGUUUACUCUGGAGCUGCAGGGGAAGAGGUGAGCCCUAAUAAGCUCCAAACCAGGCUUGACACUGAAAUAAAGACCUCCAAACUGAAACAACUGAAUCAAAGGAGAGUAAAGAAUGUGUAUCCUGAUACCAAAGAAAGCAAUAUUUGUAUUUCCAAUGUGUAUCUGACACUGCUGUGUCCUAGGCCUAGGAUAUCAUCCAAUUUACAUGGAUGUUUUCCCCUGUUGUGCACUGAACAGAGAUCCUAGGCUCUGAAAGCAAGUCCUUUUUCAGCUCUGCUAGCAGUGUGUUGAGUCUGCAUGUCCUUUUUCAGCUCUGCUAGCAGUGUGUUGAGUCUGCAUGUCUUUUUUCAGCUCUGUUAGCAGUGUGUUGAGUCUGCAUGUCGUUUUUCAGCUCUGCUAGCAGUGUGUUGCGUCUGCAUGUCGUUUAUCAGCUCUGCUAGCAGUGUGUUGAGUCUGC